RNAcentral lists this ribosomal RNA (413 nucleotides) under uncultured microorganism. RNAcentral's name for it is "bacterial SSU rRNA". It matches the Rfam family "Archaeal small subunit ribosomal RNA", at positions 330 to 745 of the family's 1478-position model. The record is from RNAcentral.
GUGCACCAGUCGCGAAACCUCCACAAUGCACGCAAGUGCGAUGGGGCUACCUCGAGUGCCGCCUGAUGAAGGCGGCUUUUCCACGGUGUAAACAGCCGUGGGAAUAAGAGGGGGGCAAGGCUGGUGUCGGCCGCCGCGGUAAUACCAGCCCCUCGAGUGGUGGGGACGAUUAUUGGGCCUAAAGCGUCCGUAGCCGGCCCGAUAAGUCCCUCGUUAAAUCCAGCGUCCUAAGCGCUGGGCUGCGGGGGAUACUGUCGGGCUAGGGGGCGGGAGAGGCCGGCGGUAUUCCCGGGGUAGGGGCGAAAUCCGUUGAUCCCGGGAGGACCACCAGUGGCGAAGGCGGCCGGCCAGAACGCGCCCGACGGUCAGGGACGAAAGCUGGGGGAGCGAACCGGAUUAGAUACCCGCGUAGU